UAUUUGACUCAACGCGGGAAAUCUUACCGGGUCCGGACACACUGAGGAUUGACAGGCAAUAUAUGUGACUCUUCGGAGUUUGCAUUGUUAAAUAUGCUAGUCCUUUCAUGAUUAUGUGAUAGGUGGUGCAUGGCCGUUCUUAGUUCGUGGAGUGAUCUGUCUGCUUAAUUGCGUUUCAAAUUACUUAUAAGGUAGCAAUACGCGAUGAAACUUUCAAUAGUCCUCACGGAUUCACUUGAGUUGACUCGCUUCGCUAUCCUUUCGAAUGCAACGAACGUGACCGCAACCUCUUGUUGCCUUCGUUUAACAUCCUGCAGCUCGCUGUGGGUACUGAGGGCUUCACUCGGUGAC
This 351-nucleotide ribosomal RNA is filed under the name Globigerinita uvula. RNAcentral's name for it is "bacterial SSU rRNA". It matches the Rfam family "Eukaryotic small subunit ribosomal RNA", at positions 1193 to 1400 of the family's 1831-position model. Lineage: Eukaryota; Foraminifera; Rotaliida; Globigerinitidae. The record is from RNAcentral.